CAAGUCGAGCGGAGUGAGGNGCUUGCACCUUAUCUUAGCGGCGGACGGGUGAGUAAUGCUUAGGAAUCUGCCUAUUAGUGGGGGACAACAUUCCGAAAGGAAUGCUAAUACCGCAUACGUCCUACGGGAGAAAGCAGGGGAUCUUCGGACCUUGCGCUAAUAGAUGAGCCUAAGUCGGAUUAGCUAGUUGGUGGGGUAAAGGCCUACCAAGGCGACGAUCUGUAGCGGGUCUGAGAGGAUGAUCCGCCACACUGGGACUGAGACACGGCCCAGACUCCUACGGGAGGCAGCAGUGGGGAAUAUUGGACAAUGGGGGGAACCCUGAUCCAGCCAUGCCGCGUGUGUGAAGAAGGCCUUAUGGUUGUAAAGCACUUUAAGCGAGGAGGAGGCUACUGAGACUAAUACUCUUGGAUAGUGGACGUUACUCGCAGAAUAAGCACCGGCUAACUCUGUGCCAGCAGCCGCGGUAAUACAGAGGGUGCGAGCGUUAAUCGGAUUUACUGGGCGUAAAGCGUGCGUAGGCGGCUUUUUAAGUCGGAUGUGAAAUCCCCGAGCUUAACUUGGGAAUUGCAUUCGAUACUGGGAAGCUAGAGUAUGGGAGAGGAUGGUAGAAUUCCAGGUGUAGCGGUGAAAUGCGUAGAGAUCUGGAGGAAUACCGAUGGCGAAGGCAGCCAUCUGGCCUAAUACUGACGCUGAGGUACGAAAGCAUGGGGAGCAAACAGGAUUAGAUACCCCUGGUAGUCCAUGCCGUAAACGAUGUCUACUAGCCGUUGGGGGCCUUUGAGGGCUUUAGUGGCGCAGCUAACGCG
RNAcentral lists this ribosomal RNA (809 nucleotides) under uncultured Acinetobacter sp. RNAcentral describes it as "bacterial SSU rRNA". It matches the Rfam family "Bacterial small subunit ribosomal RNA", at positions 58 to 859 of the family's 1533-position model. Lineage: Bacteria; Pseudomonadati; Pseudomonadota; Gammaproteobacteria; Moraxellales; Moraxellaceae. The record is from RNAcentral.